Melanotaenia boesemani (Boeseman's rainbowfish) is the source of this 98-nucleotide long non-coding RNA. RefSeq lists it as uncharacterized. NCBI's taxonomy places the organism in Eukaryota, Metazoa, Chordata, Actinopteri, Atheriniformes, Melanotaeniidae. The transcript is spliced from 3 exons. The record is from RefSeq and is a predicted model, not a curated record.
AUCGUUGACGAUCAGGUUCAUUUAAUUGUGGCCACCAAAAUCAUGAUCACAAUCAAAAUCCGAUUAAUUGUGGAGCUCUACUUCUUCUACAGAUAUCU